CGGGACCCCGCACAAGCGGUGGAUCAUGUUGUUUAAAUUCGAUGAUACGCAAGAACCUUACCAGGCUUGACAUCCCCUGCAAAGCUAUGGAGACAUAGUGGAGGUUAUCAGGGAGACAGGUGGUGCAUGGUUGUCGUCAGCUCGUGUCGUGAGAUGUUGGGUUAAGUCCCGCAACGAGCGCAACCCUUAUUGCUAGUUACCAUCAUUCAGUUGGGGACUCUAGCGAGACUGCCAGUGAUAAACUGGAGGAAGGUGGGGAUGACGUCAAAUCAUCAUGCCCCUUAUGACCUGGGCUACAAACGUGAUACAAUGGCUGAAACAAAGGGCAGCGAAGCAGUGAUGUGGAGCGAAACCCAAAAAAGCAGUCUCAGUUCGGAUUGAAGUCUGCAACUCGACUUCAUGAAGUCGGAAUCGCUAGUAAUCGCGGAUCAGAACGCCGCGGUGAAUACGUUCUCGGGGUUU
RNAcentral lists this ribosomal RNA (462 nucleotides) under uncultured Acholeplasma sp. RNAcentral's name for it is "bacterial SSU rRNA". It matches the Rfam family "Bacterial small subunit ribosomal RNA", at positions 914 to 1382 of the family's 1533-position model. Lineage: Bacteria; Bacillati; Mycoplasmatota; Mollicutes; Acholeplasmatales; Acholeplasmataceae. The record is from RNAcentral.